GGUACGACCUCGGCAACAGAUAUCUCGGCUCUUGCAUCGACGAAGAAUGUAGCGAAAUGCGAUACAUGGUGCGAAUUGCAGAAUCCUGCGAACAUCGAUCUUCGAACGCAAUUGCGCUGAGCCAUUCGGCCAAGGGCACGCUUGCUUGGGCGCCAACC
Molecule: ribosomal RNA, 158 nt
Filed under: Calamus didymophyllus
Lineage: Eukaryota; Viridiplantae; Streptophyta; Magnoliopsida; Arecales; Arecaceae
Description: 5.8S ribosomal RNA
Rfam family: 5.8S ribosomal RNA
About the family: 5.8S ribosomal RNA (5.8S rRNA) is a component of the large subunit of the eukaryotic ribosome. It is transcribed by RNA polymerase I as part of the 45S precursor that also contains 18S and 28S rRNA.
Source: RNAcentral